Molecule: ribosomal RNA, 253 nt
Filed under: uncultured bacterium
Lineage: Bacteria
Description: partial 16S ribosomal RNA
Rfam family: Bacterial small subunit ribosomal RNA
Source: RNAcentral
UACGUAGGCAGCAAGCGUUGUUCGGAAUUACUGGGCGUAAAGAGUGUGUAGGCGGUGCUCUAAGUCUGUUGUGAAAUCUCCCGGCUUAACCGGGAGGGUGCGGCGGAAACUGGAGUGCUUGAGGGUGGGAGAGGUAAGCGGAAUUCCUGGUGUAGCGGUGAAAUGCGUAGAUAUCUGGAGGAACACCGGUGGCGAAGGCGGCAUCCUGGACCGGUAUUGACGCUGAGGCGCGAAAGCUAGGGGAGCAAACGGG